RNAcentral lists this ribosomal RNA (371 nucleotides) under uncultured bacterium. Its description in RNAcentral is "bacterial SSU rRNA". It matches the Rfam family "Bacterial small subunit ribosomal RNA", at positions 527 to 896 of the family's 1533-position model. The record is from RNAcentral.
GAAGGGUGCAAGCGUUAAUCGGAAUUACUGGGCGUAAAGCGUGCGUAGGCGGUUUCUUAAGUCCGUUGUGAAAGCCCUGGGCUCAACCUGGGAACUGCGAUGGAUACUGAGGAGCUGGAGUACGGUAGAGGAAGGUGGAAUUCCCGGUGUAGCGGUGAAAUGCGUAGAGAUCGGGAGGAACAUCAGUGGCGAAGGCGGCCUUCUGGACCAGUACUGACGCUGAGGCACGAAAGCGUGGGGAGCAAACAGGAUUAGAUACCCUGGUAGUCCACGCCCUAAACGAUGCGGACUGGACGUUGGGAGCAACUUGGCUCUCAGUGUCGAAGCUAACGCGUUAAGUCCGCCGCCUGGGGAGUACGCUCGCAAGAGUG